GUGCUAAUCUGCGAAAAGCGUCGGUAAGGUGAUAUGAACCGUUACAGCCGGCGAUGUCCGAAUGGGGAAACCCAGUGCAAUUCGUUGCACUAUCGUUAACUGAAUACAUAGGUUAACGAGGCGAACCGGGGGAACUGAAACAUCUAAGUACCCCGAGGAAAAGAAAUCAACCGAGAUUCCCCCAGUAGCGGCGAGCGAACGGGGAGCAGCCCAGAGUCUGAAUCAGCUUGUGUGUUAGUGGAACGGUCUGGAAAGUCCGACGGUACAGGGUGAUAGUCCCGUACACCAAAAUGCACAGGUUGUGAACUCGAAGAGUAGGGCGGGACACGUGGUAUCCUGUCUGAAUAUGGGGGGACCAUCCUCCAAGGCUAAAUACGCCUGACUGACAGAUAGUGAACCAGUACCGUGAGGGAAAGGCGAAAAGAACCCCGGCGAGGGGAGUGAAAAAGAACCUGAAACCGUGUACGUACAAGCAGUGGGAGCACCUUCGGGUGUGACUGCGUACCUUUUGUAUAAUGGGUCAGCGACUUAUAUUCUGU
Molecule: ribosomal RNA, 539 nt
Filed under: Acinetobacter baumannii
Lineage: Bacteria; Pseudomonadati; Pseudomonadota; Gammaproteobacteria; Moraxellales; Moraxellaceae
Description: partial 23S ribosomal RNA
Rfam family: Bacterial large subunit ribosomal RNA
Source: RNAcentral